RNAcentral lists this ribosomal RNA (446 nucleotides) under Aureoboletus erythraeus. RNAcentral's name for it is "partial large subunit ribosomal RNA". It matches the Rfam family "Eukaryotic large subunit ribosomal RNA", at positions 107 to 548 of the family's 3401-position model. The record is from RNAcentral. Lineage: Eukaryota; Fungi; Basidiomycota; Agaricomycetes; Boletales; Boletaceae.
GCUCAAAUUUUGAAUCUGGUAGUCUGUUGGCUGCCCGAGUUGUAAUCUAGAGAAGCGUUUUCCGCGCUGGACCGUGUACAAGUCUCCUGGAAGGGAGCGUCAUAGAGGGUGAGAAUCCCGUCUUUGACACGGACUACCAGUGCUAUGUGAUGCGCUCUCGACGAGUCGAGUUGUUUGGGAAUGCAGCUCAAAAUGGGUGGUAAAUUCCAUCUAAAGCUAAAUACAGGCGAGAGACCGAUAGCGAACAAGUACCGUGAGGGAAAGAUGAAAAGAACUUUGGAAAGAGAGUUAAACAGUACGUGAAAUUGCUGAAAGGGAAACGCUUGAUGUCAGUCACGUCGGCCAGGGAUCAACCUUGCAAUUCGUUGCUGGGUGCAUUUCCUGGUCGAUGGGUCAGCAUCAGUUUCUGUCGCCGUACAAUGGCAAAGGGAAUGUGGCACUCUUUC